RNAcentral lists this ribosomal RNA (402 nucleotides) under Triticum aestivum (bread wheat). RNAcentral describes it as "partial small subunit ribosomal RNA". The record is from RNAcentral. Lineage: Eukaryota; Viridiplantae; Streptophyta; Magnoliopsida; Poales; Poaceae.
AUGAAGAUGGCGACUUGCAUUCGUAAGGUGGCCUCGGAGGAGUUUGGAGUGUCCAGGGGAAGGAGAAGCGAAGAUAAGGAUACCUGGUGGUGGAAUGAUGAUGUCCAGAAGGCGCUUAAAGAGAAGAAAGAUUGCUUCAGACGCCUAUACCUGGAUAGGAGUGCAGACAACAUAGAGAAGUACAAGAUGGCGAAGAAGGCCGCAAAGCGAGCUGUUGGUGAAGCAAGGGGUCGGGCAUAUGAGGACCUCUACCAACGGUUAGGCACGAAGGAAGGUGAAAGGGACAUCUAUAAGAUGGCUAAGAUCCGGGAGAGGAAGACGAGGGAUAUUGGCCAAGUCAAAUGCAUCAAGGACGGAGCAGGCCAACUCUUGGUGAAGGACGAAGAGAUUAAGCAUAGAUGA